RNAcentral lists this ribosomal RNA (625 nucleotides) under uncultured Glomeromycotina. RNAcentral's name for it is "eukaryotic LSU rRNA". It matches the Rfam family "Eukaryotic large subunit ribosomal RNA", at positions 293 to 766 of the family's 3401-position model. Lineage: Eukaryota; Fungi; Glomeromycota. The record is from RNAcentral.
CGGGAGGUAAAUUUCUCCUAAGGCUAAAUAUAGGCGAGAGACCGAUAGCGAACAAGUACCGUGAGGGAAAGAUGAAAAGAACUUUGAAAAGAGAGUCAAACAGUACGUGAAAUUGUUGAAAGGGAAACGAUUGAAGCCAGUCGUACCGACGGGAAUUCAACUUCUUUAAGUGCUUGUCGUGGGUGACCGUUGAGCUUCGCGGCCUUCGUUGCUUUGCGUUAUGGUACUUUUAGGGUGUACUUUUCCGUAUGGUAGGUCAAUAUCGAUUUUGAUCGUCAUAAAAUGAUCGGAGGAAUGUGGCUUCGAUCUCGUAUCGGAGUGUUAUAGCCUUUGGUAGAUGUGACGAUUGGGAUCGAGGAUUGCAACGAAUACCCUUUUGGGCUAUCCGUCUGACCUCUGAAAGUCGCUCGGGUGUCGAAAGCGUGCUUAUGACAUUCUAGUUGGCGGUCAAAAGGUUAGAACGUGAUUACAUUCGUUAAGGAUGUUGACGUAAUGGCUUUAAACGACCCGUCUUGAAACACGGACCAAGGAGUCUAACAUAUAUGCGAGUGUUCGGGUGAUCAAACCCUUACGCGUAAUGAAAGUAAUUCAGGUGGGAUCGCGCUUGUCGUGUGCACCAUCGACC